GUGAAUCAUCAAAUUUUUGAACGCAAAUUGCACUCUUUGGUAUUCCGGAGAGUAUGCCUGUUUGAGGGUCAGUUUAAAUAAAAAUCGGUGUGGUUGUUGCCUUUAGUGGUGACGCAGCGGUUUUGGGUCGUCUUGAGUUCGGUUAAGUGACUUUAAUAUUUGCAUGUUUUUUUUCGCACGUAUUUAGAUGAUUUUCUGUUUAUUUGCGUUAUUGUAUAUUAGGUGUGAACAUCUUAAUACUUG
RNAcentral lists this unclassified non-coding RNA (243 nucleotides) under Glomeraceae sp. Its description in RNAcentral is "partial contains 5.8S ribosomal RNA and internal transcribed spacer 2". The stretch from base 1 to 71 matches the Rfam family "5.8S ribosomal RNA", at positions 84 to 154 of the family's 154-position model. The record is from RNAcentral. Lineage: Eukaryota; Fungi; Glomeromycota; Glomeromycetes; Glomerales; Glomeraceae.